UUAUGGCACAAUCAUACUCACGAUGUGGAGGUAGCUUAUCUGCCUCCCUCUUUUCAAAAACCAAGGCAAGGUCUGCAUAAACAGAGGGAACAGAAACCGAGAGUGGUUUAGCCGUGGGCACGUUAAGUAAACAGACAGGACAUACAUGAGCCAUACAGUCUCGCUGACAAGAUUCCCCCCAGGAGGGUAUGUCUAAACAACCCCAAUCAAGAACAGGGUUGUGUUUAACUAACCAGGGAAAAC
Molecule: non-coding RNA, 243 nt
Organism: Pelobates cultripes (western spadefoot toad)
Lineage: Eukaryota; Metazoa; Chordata; Amphibia; Anura; Pelobatidae
Source: the annotation of a GenBank genome assembly